Molecule: RNase P RNA, 346 nt
Filed under: Shewanella eurypsychrophilus
Lineage: Bacteria; Pseudomonadati; Pseudomonadota; Gammaproteobacteria; Alteromonadales; Shewanellaceae
Also listed under: 1 other name
Description: Shewanella sp. YLB-08 RNase P RNA component class A
Rfam family: Bacterial RNase P class A
About the family: Ribonuclease P (RNase P) is a ubiquitous endoribonuclease, found in archaea, bacteria and eukarya as well as chloroplasts and mitochondria.
Source: RNAcentral
CGAGUUGGCCAGACAGUUGCCGCGUUCGCAAGAACGGGGAGGAAAGUCCGGGCUUCAUAGAGCAGGGUACCAGGUAACGCCUGGGCGGUGUGAACCGACGACAAGUGCAGCAGAGAGGAGACCGCCAAUCUUCGGAUUGGUAAGGGUGAAAGGGUGCGGUAAGAGCGCACCGUGCGACUAGUAAUAGUUCGUAGCAAGGUAAACUCUACCCGAAGCAAGACCAAAUAGGGUUCCAUACGGCGCGGCUCGCGUUGGAACCGGGUAGGUCGCUUGAGCCUGUGAGCGAUUGCAGGCCUAGAUGAAUAACUGUCCACGACAAGACCCGGCUUAUCGGCCAACUCACCUA